RNAcentral lists this ribosomal RNA (253 nucleotides) under uncultured bacterium. Its description in RNAcentral is "partial 16S ribosomal RNA". It matches the Rfam family "Bacterial small subunit ribosomal RNA", at positions 524 to 776 of the family's 1533-position model. The record is from RNAcentral.
UACAGAGGGGGCAAGCGUUAUUCGGAAUUAUUGGGCGUAAAGGGCGCGUAGGCGGUCGUGCAAGUGGAAGGUGAAAUCCCUCGGCUCAACCGAGGAACUGCCUUUCAAACUGCAUGACUUGAGUCCGGGAGAGGUGAGUGGAAUUCCCAGUGUAGCGGUGAAAUGCGUAGAUAUUGGGAAGAACACCUGAGGCGAAGGCGGCCCCCUGGUCGGAUACUGACGCUGAGACGCGAAAGCGUGGGGAGCAAACAGG